AGGUGUUGGGUAGAGAGGCUCUGACUGGCCGCUGUUACUGGGAGAAGUGUGUUUCUAUGGGCCCGUUGGCUGUGUCACCGUCAGCAGUUACCAGGGACCGUCCUGCCGUCGCCUCUACCCACCACGGGACCACCACCCUCUCCGGCUACCCACCACGGGACCACCACCGUCACCGUCAGCAGGUCAGAGCCCCCUCACAGCUCCACCCUUUUGAAAUAGAUCUAUCUUUAUUGAAGUGUAUUCACCCUGGAGGCCUACCUACACCAAUCGCACCAACACCACACAGCCACA
Molecule: long non-coding RNA, 291 nt
Organism: Gadus morhua (Atlantic cod)
Lineage: Eukaryota; Metazoa; Chordata; Actinopteri; Gadiformes; Gadidae
Exons: 2
Source: RefSeq, a predicted model, not a curated record